This 253-nucleotide ribosomal RNA is filed under the name uncultured bacterium. Its description in RNAcentral is "partial 16S ribosomal RNA". It matches the Rfam family "Bacterial small subunit ribosomal RNA", at positions 524 to 776 of the family's 1533-position model. The record is from RNAcentral.
UACGUAGGUGGCAAGCGUUGUCCGGAAUUAUUGGGCGUAAAGCGCGCGCAGGCGGUUUUUUAAGUCUGAUGUGAAAGCCCACGGCUCAACCGUGGAGGGUCAUUGGAAACUGGAGAACUUGAGUACAGAAGGGGAAAGCGGAAUUCCACGUGUAGCGGUGAAAUGCGUAGAGAUGUGGAGGAACACCAGUGGCGAAGGCGGCUUUCUGGUCUGUAACUGACGCUGAGGCGCGAAAGCGUGGGGAGCAAACAGG